UACACGGUUUAGAAUAUUUCUAUAUUGUUAGUAAGGUUUUAUGGGAUGUUUUAGAGCAUUCCUUAAAUUCUCUUUAGGGUUUUCUGGUUUGUACCCUAUAUUAUAUUGGCAGACAUUGAACAUAUAAUAAGAUUAACUAAGAAGGAGUCUCUCGAAGUACCGGCAAACUAUACCAAUAGAGUCUGACCCUUUAUCAGAGAGUGUAAUGAGCUUAUUUUGUUGAUGUGGGUUCCGUAACGCUGCUAACACGGGACCAAGGCCAGCGCACAAACCAGCAGGUUACAAUGGACGCCGCCACCAUCAAAGAGCAGAUUCACUCAUGAACCUUUUACUAAUGGGCUAACUCAUUCCCAAAAGCUAGCUCAAAGAAGGAGGUUUGCCUCACACUAUAUAUAUUGCUCAAGGAUUUAGUUUUGUUCCGAUGUGCGACUCUAACAGAACCAGCCAGUAGUUCAAAAACCGUCUAUUGCAGUACCAUCCAUUUCAGUAGAUGAGUUGAAAAUAUUAACCGAUAAAUAUAGUUCAAAGGCAUCAAUUGCAGGUUCAGAUGGACAACUGUUUUACGGUGUUCUUAAAAUCCCUAAAGCUGCUACCAUCAAGAAACUUGAUGACCCUAGUAAGCAGACAGAUGGAGUAUUUCUUUUUCCCAGGUGAAGCUUUAUGAUCCAAAAAAAAAGGAAGAAGCUAAGGCAUUACUAGACAAAGGGUGUCGAGCUUGGUGAUUUCAGGUGAGGUGAAUGAAAGUCAUAGUUUAGUUGCUUUCGCUUAAGAGAAGAGUGGAAGAGUUUGGUGCUUGAAGGUGAAGUGAAGGAAGAGUAUUUAUAGUGUAUAGUUAAGA
Molecule: non-coding RNA, 838 nt
Organism: Camelina sativa (false flax)
Lineage: Eukaryota; Viridiplantae; Streptophyta; Magnoliopsida; Brassicales; Brassicaceae
Source: RefSeq, a predicted model, not a curated record